This 430-nucleotide ribosomal RNA is filed under the name uncultured bacterium. Its description in RNAcentral is "partial 16S ribosomal RNA". It matches the Rfam family "Bacterial small subunit ribosomal RNA", at positions 354 to 796 of the family's 1533-position model. The record is from RNAcentral.
GUGGGGAAUAUUGCACAAUGGGCGCAAGCCUGAUGCAGCAACGCCGCGUGAGGGAUGACGGCCUUCGGGUUGUAAACCUCUUUUAGUAGGGAAGAAGCGAAAGUGACGGUACCUGCAGAAAAAGCACCGGCUAACUACGUGCCAGCAGCCGCGGUAAUACGUAGGGUGCAAGCGUUGUCCGGAAUUAUUGGGCGUAAAGAGCUCGUAGGCGGCUUGUCGCGUCUGCUGUGAAAACCCGAGGCUCAACCUCGGGCCUGCAGUGGGUACGGGCAAGCUAGAGUGCGGUAGGGGAGAUUGGAAUUCCUGGUGUAGCGGUGGAAUGCGCAGAUAUCAGGAGGAACACCGAUGGCGAAGGCAGAUCUCUGGGCCGUAACUGACGCUGAGGAGCGAAAGCAUGGGGAGCGAACAGGAUUAGAAACCCUUGUAGUCC